This is a long non-coding RNA of Acanthochromis polyacanthus (spiny chromis), 3333 nucleotides long. RefSeq lists it as uncharacterized. The transcript is spliced from 4 exons. NCBI's taxonomy places the organism in Eukaryota, Metazoa, Chordata, Actinopteri, Pomacentridae. The record is from RefSeq and is a predicted model, not a curated record.
UGCUUGUUGCCAUGGUAAACUCCGGUUAGUUAUGCAGCAGGAAGUCGGUAAAACCCGUCGGCGGCGUCCGAACACGGAGAAAAGCGACGGUUUGGGUAAUAAACUCAGCAUUUCUGGAACAUUUUUCCAAUUCUGAGUCUGAACAGAACGUUCCGAACAAAUGUUUGCAGCGACGACUUUAAAGCACCUUCUAGUUUCACUCCUCGCUUCAUACGAGUUUAUCUGCAGCUUCUUGAUGAAUAUAUUUCAUGGCUCCCGUUCAGGCUUUAAUACAAGAUUAGUCUGCAUUAAGUGUAAUUAGAGGGAUUGAUUCAGCGGAGCAGAAAGUCAUCCUGUAGAAAGAACUGAAACUGGUGACUCUGAGUUGUUGCUGUGACGUCUUUAUUUUCCAGCUCAGGAACAGACUGUCCAGAAAAGAUAAACAGGCUGAAUGAACGAUGGUAGUAAAAAAUAUAGAUGUAAUAAAGAGCAUCUUUUCGGCUGUUUCACUUUGAAUUAUUCCGUGUAAAAUCAACCAAAUCUGAAAAAACGUUCCCAGCAAACCUCCUCAGAAUCAGUUGAUUCUUUAUCUGCAGGAACUUUAUUGAAUGAUCAAAGUUUUAUCUUCAUACUGUGAAUAUUUACACAGUUACAGGCCCUUAAAAUCCAAAUUAAACCCUUUUAAAGCAUUUUUUCAACAUUUCUGAGCCUCAGAACUUUAUCAGUACAGCAGAUAGACACAUGACAUUUUAACAACACAACCUGAGCUCUGGAAAAAAAGCAAGUCUGUUUAAUCUGAUGUUAUUAUUUCAGUAUGAAGUAAAAACUAUGCAAAAAUUAUGACAAAAAGAUAUGAAAUCGCCACAAACCUGCCUCAGACCCAAAAUCACCACAUCAGCUUGCAAAGUCGCCAUGAAACAAGAUCAGCAAAAAAAAGAGACUAUAUCAGCACAAAAACACUCAAAAUCACCACAAAAACAAACAAUCACACCAUAAAGACCCAAAAUCACCACAAAAACAUGGAAACACACCAUAAAAAGAGGCAAAACCAACACAAAAACAUACAUUCACACCAUAAAAGGACUUUUAAUCAGCACAAAAACACACAUUCACACUGUUGCUUUAGUCAUUUUGACUUCAAAUGCUGCAAAUACUACAUUUUUAUGUUGUUUACUUAUAAUCAAUUGAUUAAUGAAAGAGUUGGUGUCAUUUGCAUCUCCAAAUAUCCUCUCUGGAUCUCUGCAGUUCUACACAGAGGACACAGGAAUCCACUGAAAGUUUAAAAACACCUGAAUCACCGUCUUUCCUCCGAUAAUCUCCCCAAACGCUCCCCGAGCUCCGAUCCAGAGUUGUGAUGGCAGCUCAGAGGGAAAUUAUCUGAAUGUCAACAGCUGCUGUUCAGUGAAGAGCUCUGGAUCAGAAUGUCCAUCCAGGGAGGAGACCUUUAGAACAUUAGAGAGGAGGUCAUUGGUUAGUCCUCCAUCACACAGGAAGUCUAGAGGAGGUCACCGGUUAGUCCUCCAUCAUACAGGAAGUCUAGAGGAGGUCACCGGUUAGUCCUCCAUCAUACAGGAAGUCUAGAGGAGGUCACCGGUUAGUCCUCCAUCAUACAGGAAGUCUAGAGGAGGUCACCGGUUAGUCCUCCAUCACACAGGAAGUCUAGAGGAGGUCAUCGGUUAGUCCUCCAUCACACAGGAAGUCUAGAGGAGGUCAUCGGUUAGUCCUUCAUCAUACAGGAAGUCUAGAGGAGGUCACCGGUUAGUCCUCCAUCAUACAGGAAGUCUAGAGGAGGUCACCGGUUAGUCCUCCAUCAUACAGGAAGUCUAGAGGAGGUCACCGGUUAGUCCUCCAUCAUACAGGAAGUCUAGAGGAGGUCACCGGUUAGUCCUCCAUCAUACAGGAAGUCUAGAGGAGGUCACCGGUUAGUCCUCCAUCACACAGGAAGUCUAGAGGAGGUCAUCGGUUAGUCCUCCAUCACACAGGAAGUCUAGAGGAGGUCAUCGGUUAGUCCUCCAUCACACAGGAAGUCUAGAGGAGGUCAUCGGUUAGUCCUUCAUCAUACAGGAAGUCUAGAGGAGGUCACCGGUUAGUCCUCCAUCACACAGGAAGUCUAGAGGAGGUCAUCGGUUAGUCCUUCAUCAUACAGGAAGUCUAGAGGAGGUCACCGGUUAGUCCUCCAUCACACAGGAAGUCUAGAGGAGGUCAUCGGUUAGUCCUUCAUCAUACAGGAAGUCUAGAGGAGGUUAUCGGUUAGUCCUCCAUCAUACAGGAAGUCUAGAGGAGGUCACCGGUUAGUCCUCCAUCACACAGGAAGUCUAGAGGAGGUCACCGGUUAGUCCUCCAUCACACAGGAAGUCUAGAGGAGGUCAUCGGUUAGUCCUCCAUCACACAGGAAGUCUAGAGGAGGUCAUCGGUUAGUCCUCCAUCACACAGGAAGUCUAGAGGAGGUCAUCGGUUAGUCCUCCAUCACACAGGAAGUCUAGAGGAGGUCACCGGUUAGUCCUCCAUCACACAGGAAGUCUAGAGGAGGUCAUCGGUUAGUCCUCCAUCACACAGGAAGUCUAGAGGAGGUCACCGGUUAGUCCUCCAUCACACAGGAAGUCUAGAGGAGGUCAUCGGUUAGUCCUCCAUCACACAGGAAGUCUAGAGGAAGUCAUCGGUUAGUCCUCCAUCACACAGGAAGUCUAGAGGAGGUCAUCGGUUAGUCCUCCAUCACACAGGAAGUCUAGAGGAGGUCACCGGUUAGUCCUCCAUCACACAGGAAGUCUAGAGGAGGUCACCGGUUAGUCCUCCAUCACACAGGAAGUCUAGAGGAGGUCACCGGUUAGUCCUCCAUCACACAGGAAGUCUAGAGGAAGUCAUCGGUUAGUCCUCCAUCACACAGGAAGUCUAGAUGAAGUCAUUGGUUUAGCCAUUUUUGACAUUUUGGUGUUUUGUUUACACUUUGAGCCAUUUUGAAAAUUAUCCUGUCAUAUCCUGUAGGUAAUUUUGCAUCAGUUCAGAUUCUUUUUUUCAUUUGGGAAAUGUUUAAGUCAUUUUGUAAAAGUUUUUUGUAAUUUUAUCCUUUUUUGUUGUUCUAGGUACAUUUUUAGCCAUUUUGGAUUUUUUUUAGUAAUUUUUGAUUUUUUUUAUCAACUUUUUAAACGUUUGUGUCAUUGUCAUUCAUUUUUGUUGUCAUUUUAAAUAUUUUUAGUCAUUUUGUGUUUGUUUUGAGUCCUUCUGGAAACAUUUAAGUCUUUUUUCUGGGUUGUUUUGGGUACAUUUGAGCCAUUUGGAAAUUUUCUUGAGCCACAUUGGUAAAUUUAUGUAAUAAACAUUUUGUUUUUAGUAAUUUUGGGUCCAUUUUGAGUUUUA